This 403-nucleotide ribosomal RNA is filed under the name Verrucomicrobiota bacterium. RNAcentral describes it as "Verrucomicrobia bacterium partial 16S ribosomal RNA". It matches the Rfam family "Bacterial small subunit ribosomal RNA", at positions 355 to 776 of the family's 1533-position model. The record is from RNAcentral. Lineage: Bacteria; Pseudomonadati; Verrucomicrobiota.
UGGGGAAUAUUGCACAAUGGGGGAAACCCUGAUGCAGCGACGCCGCGUGAGCGAAGAAGGUUUUCGAAUCGUAAAGCUCUGUCCUAUGAGAAGAUAAUGACGGUAUCAUAGGAGGAAGCCCCGGCUAAAUACGUGCCAGCAGCCGCGGUAAUACGUAUGGGGCGAGCGUUGUCCGGAAUUAUUGGGCGUAAAGGGUACGUAGGCGGUCUAUUAAGUCAGGUGUGAAAGCGUGAGGCUUAACCUCAUUAAGCACUUGAAACUGAUAGACUUGAGUGAAGGAGAGGAAAGUGGAAGUCCUAGUGUAGCGGUGAAAUGCGUAGAUAAUAGGAGGAAUACCGGUGGCGAAGGCGACUUUCUGGACUUUUACUGACGCUCAGGUACGAAAGCGUGGGGAGCAAACAGG